UGGGGAAUUUUGGACAAUGGGCGCAAGCCUGAUCCAGCAAUGCCGCGUGCAGGAUGAAGGCCUUCGGGUUGUAAACUGCUUUUGUACGGAGCGAAAAGGUCUGCCCUAAUACGGUGGGCUCAUGACGGUACCGUAAGAAUAAGCACCGGCUAACUACGUGCCAGCAGCCGCGGUAAUACGUAGGGUGCAAGCGUUAAUCGGAAUUACUGGGCGUAAAGCGUGCGCAGGCGGUUAUGCAAGACAGAGGUGAAAUCCCCGGGCUCAACCUGGGACCUGCAUUUGUGACUGUAUAGUUAGAGUACGGUAGAGGGGGAUGGAAUUCCGCGUGUAGCAGUGAAAUGCGUAGAUAUGCGGAGGAACACCGAUGGCGAAGGCAGUCCCCUGGACUUGUACUGACGCUCAUGCACGAAAGCGUGGGGAGCAAACA
RNAcentral lists this ribosomal RNA (427 nucleotides) under uncultured bacterium. RNAcentral describes it as "bacterial SSU rRNA". It matches the Rfam family "Bacterial small subunit ribosomal RNA", at positions 355 to 774 of the family's 1533-position model. The record is from RNAcentral.